GCCAGCAGCCUGGGACUGGGGUAGCGGCCUCCCCUCCUUCUUUCCCUCCUUUCCUCCUCCUCCCCUGCUGACACCUGGCUGGGAGGGCCCUUGGAGAGGGCAGCAGCAGACUCAUGGCUGAAAGAAUCACAGUGAGGAUCGAGAUUUCCUUUGCCUUUCCGGCGGCAUUCUGUGAUGGAUGGGGAUGUCGGUGUGGACAUGGAGGAUUUGGGCCACAUGCUGAUGGAUAAUAACCCCCAGGCAGAGUUGUGCUGACCAUUCCCCCAAGUCAGUGUGCUGGGCACACUAGAGAAGCAUUUGUGUUUCUUAAUUUGUCCAUCAUGUUCGCCUUUAUUCAUCUUU
Hipposideros armiger (great roundleaf bat) is the source of this 342-nucleotide long non-coding RNA. RefSeq lists it as uncharacterized. The record is from RefSeq and is a predicted model, not a curated record. NCBI's taxonomy places the organism in Eukaryota, Metazoa, Chordata, Mammalia, Chiroptera, Hipposideridae. The transcript is spliced from 2 exons.